GCGCUCGUAGCUCAGUUGGAUAGAGCAACGGACUUCUAAUCCGUAGGUCGUAAGUUCGAAUCUUACCGGGCGCACCA
Molecule: transfer RNA, 77 nt
Filed under: Candidatus Margulisiibacteriota bacterium
Lineage: Bacteria; Bacillati; Candidatus Margulisiibacteriota
Description: tRNA-Arg
Rfam family: tRNA
About the family: Transfer RNA (tRNA) molecules are approximately 80 nucleotides in length. Their secondary structure includes four short double-helical elements and three loops (D, anti-codon, and T loops).
Source: RNAcentral